UUUAAUUAUGCUCUCUGCUUGGAAUCCUUCUGAUUCUGGCACUUCCACCUUGACACAUGUUUGCGCAGUUUAGAUAUGUUUUGCUUCAUUCUCCCAAAAUUCUCUCUGUUUUCUUUCCUUUCUUCCUUUGGUUAACCUAAUUUUACCUUUGCCUUUUUUUGGUGCAAAUGGGAAGUCGUCGUCUCAAAUGUAUUGGUGUUCUGCUGACAUGGGAUUGGUGGUGCCACUCAGCAUCGCUUCUUAUGCUCUCCUUACAUGCACGAUUGCUCAUGUUUGUGGUAUGUAUAUAUGCUUUAGAAAAAAACGUCCCAAUAUUUGUGGUAUGUUACUUCUCCUUAUCGUUUGUAAAGGCUAUUGACUAGUAUUAAUUAAGAGAGUUGUGGAAUACUGUAAUUGCUGUUGUGAAGAGAAAAGUGACUCACAGAUGCCUUUCUUAUGCUUCUUAUAGAAUACUGGUCGGAAAGGAUUUAUGCUUCUAUAAAAAAUGCAUCACAAGGAUUACUGCUAUAAUAGUUUACACUCUAGUGGUUGCUAGAUGAUUACUACCUUUGAUUCCCCAGCCUAAAGGGCGAAAAGCAUCCUAUUGAUAGGAGGAUGUAAACAUGGGAACAAGUGCUUAUUUCAAGUUUUUCUUCUGCAGAUCUUUCUCCCAGUGAUUUUGUCCAUGGUAUUGGGGAUGCUCAUGUUUAUUGUACCCAUGUUAAACCUGUGCAGGAACACCUUCAGAAAGCACGUCAAGCCCUUUCCUGUGAGUAAUCUGCAGUAAAAUUGCAGCAUGGUCCCUUCUCUUUCAUUUCAUUGUUCUGACUCAGCUUGUCUUCUGUUGUACUUGCUAACACUCUUGUUCACAUGUACAGAUUUUAAAGAUAAACCCAGAGAGGAAGGAUAUAGGCUCUUUUCUAGCAGCUGAUUUCAAACUCAUUGGAUAUGACCCUCAUGAUAAACUAGAAAUGAAAAUGGCAGAUCAGAGUUAAAGAUUUGGUGACAUUCAUGAUGGACUCCCUUGACAAUUUUAUAUAUGGUAGGUAUGAAUUCCCUAAUUUCCUGCAUUGCCUCUAACAUUGUUAGCUUUGUCUUCUUAGUCAGAAUACUAAUGGUAGACAAUUUUAGCACCAUGUCCUUAACAGCACAUGGUUUUAGGAAACAUUUGGGGAUUGCAACCGUUUCCAGUGAUAUUAAAGAAGGCCCUGUCAAUUAUAAUAGAAUAUCUGUGUACUUAUUUCUCGUUGAUUUUCCUACUAUCUUUAGUUUAGUAAUCGAGUCCAGCCUUGUUGCGCAGCUAUUCCUUUAUAUUAGUUGUACAGUAAUGGUGUGGUAGUUGGGACUCUAGGCAUUCAGAAGAAGUUCAAGAUUGAGAUAGAUGCGGCCGCUGUUUCAUUAUCAAUUGUUAUACCUGAGCUGACUGUGGUUGGGUUUUUGAGACCUAUUACUUUGGCUGCAGAAAUUGUUCCUUGAGACUGAUUAUUUUUCCAUCCUAAUUUUUCUUUCGGGUUCCCGAAGAUUACAUGUUCCUGUCCUACAGAGGAAAUUCUUAAUUGGAUGUACUUAAUGUCGACAAUUUAGGAAGUGAGAAUCCUUUAGUCCCCCCAGAAUCAUGGUGGUUCUAAGCUGAUUUUGACGUUCCUUCAUCUUGCUAUCUCGUGAAAUUCUGUCUGUGGAUGCAUAGCUCUUGCUUGCUCAGAGACAGAUAAACCUUUGAAAUCGUAUGGUUUUUUCCAUCAUCGUGUUUAGCAGGUCUGGAAACUCUGAGUUGCUGUACAUAUUCCAGUCAUCAUCAUCAGACUCUCUAUAUGUCUUCUUCGUUGCAUUUCUCUGACAUUCGAUUUUCAUUUCUCAUAACUCAUAGGCUCCUAAGAAGGACAGAGCCCUGCCUCACUCGUUUAAGCCUGUGACGUCUUGUCGUAGAAAGCAGAAGAAGAAGGCAUGACUCUCUCUCUCUCUCUCUCUCUCUCUCUCUCUCUCUCUCUCUCAAGAUUGAGAUAGAUGCGUCUGCUGUUUCAUUAUCAAUUAUUAUACCUGAGCCUGACUGUGGUUGAGUUUUUGAGACUUGUUAUAUUGGCUGUAGAAAUCGUUCCUUGAGACUGAUUUUUUUUCCCUCUUUCUUAAUUUUCUUUCAGGUUACAUGAUUCCGUCCUACGUGGGGAAUUCUUAAUUGGAUGUACCUAAUGCUUUGCAAUUCAGGAAGUGAGAAUCCUUCAGCCCCCCAGAAUCACGAUGGUUCUAAGGUGAUUGAGGAUGCUCCUUUAUCUUGCUAUGUCAUGAAAUUCUGUCUCUGGAUGCAUAGCUCUUGCUCGGUCGGAGACAGAUAAACCCUUGAGAUCAUAUGGUUUUUCCCAAGAUCGUGUUCAGCAGAUCUGGAAACUCUGAGUCACGUAUUCCAGUCAUCAUCAUCAGACUCUCUAUAUGUCUUCUUCAUUGCGUUUCUUCCUCUUUGACGUUCGAUUUUCAUGGCUCAUAGCUCAUAGCUACUAAGAAGGACAAAGCCCCUCCUCUCUUGUUUAAGCCUGCGAAGUCUUGUGUUAGAAAGCAGAAGAAGGCAUGACUCUCUCUCUCUCUCUCUCUCAUAUGUUGAGCCAUUGAAAGUGUGGGGACAACUGGGGUUCCUUUGUAGUUAGUGAGGAUAUUUUCGAUGAUGUUACGCAAAAUGAAGUGAGGAUAGCAGAUCUUUCACGUUGGGCUAUAAUGGCCUUGUAAGUUUAUAAUUUUUUCCAGUGCAUGUACUGUUUAUUAGGUAAUUGGACUGGGGUCUUAAGUUGAGCUGUCGAAGAGUAUGUUGGGCAUCCAUCUUUGUUCUUUUUUUUCUUGGGUAGUUACUGAUUGAUUUUGCUGUCGAGUGUUUGAGCAAUUGGCCUCUGAAAUUUUAGGCAAAAAAAAAAAAAAAAAAACAAAGAAAGAAAGAGAGAGAGAAAAAUGAACAUGUUUUUUUUCUUUUUUUUUUGGUGACCGAGGAACCGCCAGAGAUCACCCUUUGGGGAUCACACGACAAAAAUGAACAUGUUUUAUACGUUCAUGCUUAUUUGUUGUUUAUGUCGGGCUUACUUGGGUUGUGAUGGAUUAGAUUGUGUGAUUGGUGAGCAGAAACGGAGCAAAGGAAAACAGAAGGAGAAGGUGAACAACAUGGUGCUGUUUGACCAGGCAACUUAUGACAAGCUUCUGUCCAAGGCGCCCAUGUAUAAGCUCAUCACCCCGUCCAUCCUCUCCAAUUGCCUAAGGGUAUGCCUUUAUGUUAAUCUUAUUAGUAUCUAUAAUUGUCUAUGUCUUGGUUUAGGCAUCUACUCUUUCCCCUUUUCUGCUUACAUGAUCCGUCAUCUAGUUAUUUCUUAUAUAAUGAGAUGGUAAUUGCCAUCACGCUUGAACCUUUCUGGACACGUUUUGAUGUAACCUUUUAUUGAUGCACUUAGGUGAAUUAUGUACAUGUAUGUAACUGAUAGGAUGUUUUCAGCAGGAACUUGCUCUGUUAAUUCUGACAAAUGCCUUAACUUGUUAGUCUUAUAUAUGGUGGAGUUCUCAAGUAGAGUUCCACCCAAUAAAAUUCAUUGUCACGGUUUCUUUAGGUCUAUUAAGUUAGGAGGAUCUGACCGUGGAAAGUUUGUUCCCAUAGGCAAAUAAUGAUAAAAUUAGAACUCCCCGUCGGCUCACUUCCUGUAGAACAAAUUGUUAUUUUUCUCGGUCUUAAUAGUGCACAUUCUUCAUCGGCAAAUUUUGUGGUGGCGGGACAUAUUUCUGCUAAUAUGGAUGAGUCAGCCUUUUUUGGAGAAUGUAAUUCACUUUUAGAGAUUUAUACUAUGAACCAAUCUCUUCUGGAUCCUAAAAGCUGUCACAUUUUCAAAGUGGUUAGUAUUCGCCAUCCUUUGCAUCGAAUUUUGGUAAUUUAGAACUCAAAACUCUCAUGGAAUCAGCCUUUGCUGCAUUUAUAAAUGAUUUUGUUGUGUUGCUUGCAUGUGAUCGAGUUAAGAUGACAACAUUUAACUUACCUGCCUUGACUUGACAUUGGUCUGGUGGUUCUAUUGCAUUCGGUUUUUCAUGGCCAGUGUUUGCGCAGAACAAUUAGAUACUUCAAUGUGCUAUAGCUAACAUAUUCGUGUUCUCAUCAGUGAGAGGAUCUUGCUGUCUGAGCUCCUCUUUCUACUAAUUAGUCAUCUCUUUGUUAUUUAUAAACUUCAUCUGGUGUAGGUUAAUGGAUCACUUGCUCGGAAGGCAAUAAGAGAACUCAUGGCUGGAGGUUUGAUCAGGAUGGUCUCUAUUCAUGCAAGCCAGCAGAUCUACAUCGGGGUGACAAAUAAGUUAGUGUCUUAGGCCCCGCUUGCAUUUUCAGCUAUAUUGCAAUGGUUGUUUUAUAUCCUGCAUUGGUAGACAACUGUUUUCUUAUCUCUGGGAUAACAUGUUGCAUACUAGAAUUUAUGAGACAGAUUAGUGUUCUUUGAGGUUUUUAUGAAGUGGAUUAUUAAAUUUUUGAUAAGCUAAUAUUUGGUGUUCGUCCAAUUCUUUUGCCUGCUGGUAUUACUCUUUCGGGAGUGCUUGCUACUGCCUACACAAAAGAGAUUUUAGCAUCUUGAAAUGCUCCAAUGCUCACCAGCAACUAUUGUGCAUAAAUUGUACGAACAGCUGAUGAGUUGGCAAGUAGAAAUGUGCUGCUCCUGAUGGGGAUAAUUCUUAUAUGGUAUUUGCAAAUGGUGGAUUGUUCUUAUUGCGUAUGUAGUAAAGAAAAGAGGUUUUGCUGAAUGGGAUGUCAUACACUCAUCAUGUGAUAUUAACAAAAUAUUUGAAUCAUGUUAAUCAUGACAAUAAUAGACAUUAUCUUUGGUAUAGAAUGCAAGGGAUUUGACAACUAAAAUUAUGAGUUAAAUUGGAUAACAAAAAUUAAAAAUUUAAAAGGCCUGUCAUCACUUUUAUGUAUUGCUUGGCAAGGUAGUUGAUUCUGAGAGAAGUAUCCUUGGUAUGGACUCCUUGGCAAGCUUGCCCGACUACUCGCAAAAUUUCAAGGAUCUGAAUGCUCAUAAUUACUUUGGCUAAAAAAGGGUCAAAAGUAAUUGUUUUUCACUUGUAAAAAUUUGCGAAAAAGUUAUGAUUAUCAUCUGCAUUGUUCCUUGAUGUUGAAAUUUGUCCUUGAAUUUUUAUUUUGGCCAAUUUGGUCCUUGUUCUCUUUCUAUGUAACCAAUGCAGUCUUUUAAGCUAAUUUGGUCAAACGUGGCAAUUCGACUCAGCCAUGGGACCUCUGUUUGUUGAUGUGGCGUCCCUAUCAUCAUGCCACAUCAGUGAAAAUUGUAAAAAAUAAAGGGAAACUGAAACUUAGAAAUAUUACAAAAAUAAGAAUGGGUAAGAAUUAAUAUAAGCAUGGGAGAGAUAGGGGCAGCACUCGCUUAGAUCUGGGUGAAGGCGAGCACCGUCAUGGGUGGUGGCGGGCUUGCACUCGGUUCUGCUGAGCACCAUUAUAGAGACGAUCUUCUUUGAGGCCAAUUUGUUCAGCUCUUCGGAGGAAAACGGCUAAGAAGCCUAGAAAUUAAGGAGCAAACUCUUGAUGCAAAACAAAAAUUAAAACACAAAUUCAAAAUUAACGAGGUCGAAACUAAGUGAUUCUCGGUAGGCACUCCAAUCGGAGAUUCAAAGUGAGUGUUCCGAUGACUUCAUUAAGGGCUAGAAGAUGAACAUGGCUGCUUCAAAACCACCUUGUUGGCAUUGAAGGAUGACGAAGGUGUGUUGCAACCUACCCCUCUAGGCGUUUGAUCUCAAGGAAUAGGUUUAGAGAUACUUGUUUAAGAGACCGUCCUCAAGGCGUAUCACAUAAAGAUAUCACAUAAAGAAGGCUCAAAAGCAACAUCUUUAAUGUUCAUAUAGGAGAUCCAUUAAUCGAGAAUAUAGAUUCUCUCAAAUCCAUAUGUUACAUGACAGCAAUUCAUUUUAAGUUUUUGUCAUUGGCGGUGGCCAGAUUUUUUUGAACAUUUGUUCAUAAUUAAAUUGCAUAUGGGUUUUUCUCUUUGCACCUUAGUAACUUUUCUCUUUUGGUGCAGGGAAUGCUCCUGGAUGUGAUGCUAUCCACAUAACAAAAGUUGAGACACCACUUGAAUCUGACACUUUUUUGCCCAUGGUUGAUACAUCUGUCUUCCAAUCAUGGUACUCGUCCUUUUGCAUCAUUGAAAAUGACAACCAGUAACUACUUAUAUCCGUGUAGGAUGUUAUGCAGUGGUUUUCUGCCUAGUAAAAAAUUUUAAGCUGCUUAUCCAAAAAUUAAAUAAGAAAGAAUCCAAAAGGGAAAGCAUUUGUGUAUGUAUUCACAAGUGCAUCUGAGAGUCUAUACUAAUUUAGAAGCGUGGAUGAAUUGCCAAUAUCCAGUGGUCCCCAGACUCCACAUAGAUUCUAGAAGAGAGAUCAAAAGAUAUUAGAAGUAGAGUUUCCCAUCCGUUUUUGUUUCAUAUGUAAAAUACCUUGUUAUUGAUCAUAGAAUUGUUGUGUAUUUCCUUCACCAAAAGUUAAGAGAGGGUCCUUUCAAAAGCAUAUCUCCAUAAAUUAUUGCAAUUUUUUAUAUUGAAAAGGGGAAUGUAAUUGUUUUAUUGUAUUUACUGUGUAAACUUACAGAAUCUUUAUAAUAAUGUGAAAUCUUUAAUAAACUUAUGAUGCCCUUUAUUUUAUUUUAUUUUGGUAAGGUAAGAAUAUAUAAGCUAAUAACCAAAAUAUACAAGAGGCUCGGCACCAAAAACUUACACUCAUAAAGACAACAAGUCAGGACGAGUGGAAGGGAGCCAAAUAAAAGAAGGAGGACCGCAAGACAAGCGGACCAACCAACAAAAGCAAAGCAGCCAAAACAAAAGACAACAAAACCCUAGCUAGGACGGCAUCAUAGUAGCAAAACGGCCGGAGCAACUCAGGAGCAAGCAAUCGCCAGAUCGCCAAAAGGAAGAUCACGAAGGAGUCGCAGCGGCAAGAGCCCACCUACGUAGGCUCAAAGAUAGAAGUAUCAAAUCUCCAGCAUCUUUGAAGUCUUAUAUUCUUGUACGAGCUGGGCACAUUCUUGUAAGUCGGAGCUUUGUCCUUGACAACCUUAAUAAGAUGGUUCUUUAACGCUGAGAUUACCACAGCUUCGCCACGGAAGAUGACAUUAUUCCUUUUCUUCCAAAUAAUAUGGCACAAAGCCCCAAAAGAAAAUCGAGACAAGGAAUGGAAAAAUUCAUUUCUUGAGAGGUACUUCAUAAGCCAAAGGAGAUUGUCCAUCCAGGAUCUAUUUCGCCACAGAAUAUUACAUCUUGUAGCCCAAAAAAACGCAAGUGUUGUUGAAGUAUGACAUUCAAACUUAUGAUGCCCUUUAUCUGUUGUUCAAACUCAAAAAAUUUAUAAAAUGAUUAUGUAUAGAUUCAAGUGUCAAUAUAAUAUUGUGAAAAUAACAUUUGGAUUUGGAAAACGUUCAAAGUACGCGAGUUGCAAAAUUUAUAUUAAUGACAGUAAAAAAAAGGGUUAAUACCCUGAAAAAUCCUAAACUUGUACACUUGCCCAAACUAUUUUUUUGACCAUGAAAAACCCCAAAUUGGUACACAUGUGACAAAUUUACCCCGACUGACCAUAAAAAACCCUAAAUUGGUACAUUUAUGACAAAUUUACCCCAAAUUAAUUUAUUCGACUGCAAAAAACUCUAAAGUGAUAAAUUUGUGAUAAAUAUACCAUUCGCUAAAUUGGAUUAAUACCACAAAAAAUUAUAAAAAUUGUAAACUCUGACAAACGGAUCAUAAAAUCCCAAAUUAAUAUAUUAGUCAAUUGUCACGUGUCAUUUAACUCAAUAAUUUGAUAAUAAAAUUUAACGAAAAUUAACAGAGGGUAAAUUUGUCACAAGUAUACCAGUUUAGGGUAAAUUUGUCAAAAGUAUACCAGUUUGAGGUUUUUUAUGGUAAAAAAAAAUAGUUUUGGGUAAAUUUAUCACAAAUGUAUCAGUUUUGGGUUUUUCAAAGUAUUAACUCUAAAAAAUAACCUAAAUAAGCCCUCAACGUGCCUUUUCCUUCAUGUAGAAUGAGCGUGUGCGAGAGAUUCUCUAACUUGCUAACUUUUAGGUGGGCUACAACGAGGAGCUUCAUGAUUUCUGACACAUCCAAUCUCGAUUAGUAUAGAAUGAAUACAGUUGUGUCCAUAUUUGUUUGAAGUACGAGAGUCGUACAAUAAAGUCCGAAGGAGCUCCCAAUUUUGGCGGAGCCUCCACUCUACUAGCGACAAGAAAAGCCAGACAGGCCCCACGUGGGCCGGACAUCGCUUUUUGACCUUUUUGUCUUUCUUCAGUCGUUAGGGAACUUCUCUCUUUCCUCCUCACCAAAAAAUACUUCUCUCUUUCCAACUCUUCCGUUUAGACAUUGACUAGCGAUUUCUACAGUCGAGGCGUGACAGCUUACGUUAUAAGUGGGCCCGGCGCUCACGUAUGCAACACGUCGGCGCUCCGUAUUCAAUGGUUAGCCUUUCUCUUUUUCCAACUCUCUACACACAAACGUGGACUGACGACUUUACCAAAAAAAAAAAAAAAAAAACGUGGACUGACGAUGACUCCUGCUUCAAAGCCGCUCAAAUCAAUAUGCUAUGAAAGAGGACCAUGUAUUAUAAUUUUAAAUAUUGAGAAAUGGAAUGUAAUUUUGUAUCUACUGUGAUGAACUAAUUUGCGAGAUCAAUCAUCUUUUAAGGUGAAGAAGAUGGUGUUAGAGAGAGAGAGAAGAGAAAUAAAGGAGGAAAUAGAAGACAUGAUUUGAAAGUGGGCCCAUUUCGAUACGUGGUAAUCAUUAACGGAUUAGAAUAUGAUCUACGUGAUAGGAAACUGUUCAAUCAAUUUUAAAUCUUUUAUAUCGAUUCCAAUGUAAUCUUGAAUUUUUAGUUUUACUAAUUUAUUUAUGAAUCUUUACGUGAAAUUUCAAUAUAGUCAUUCUAGUCAAUUUUAUCGGAACUUGCUAACUCUGUGCCAUCGCCAGACAUCUUACAUGGCACAUUACCACAUCAGCAAAUUUCCACCGAACAUUGACAAGAAGAGCACCCCAUACUUUCUCAACAACAUAUGGUCCUCUUUUCCAGAACUAGUAAGCAAGAAAGCCAUUCAUGGCUUUACCCAUAAAAGAUAAAGCAGAUAUGCUUGGAAAUUGCUUCUUUCGAAACUCAUAUUUACUAUGUCGUUAUCAUGUGUUGGGGUUGCUUUGAUUGGAGAAGGGAAGAACACCCAAAUGUCAAACUUAACAUGAGUGGACACAUAAGUGCCAAAACUUCCAAAAUAUAUAUAUAAGUAGGGGUGUAAGUGGUUUGGUUCAGUUAUGUUUUUUUGGAAAACCGAACCAAAUCGAACCAAUAAGGAAAUUUAUUGAACCGAAUUGAAAUCUGAUCCAAACCAAAACUAAACUGAAUUGAAAUCCCAAUUCGAUUCGGUUCGGUUUUUUGGUUUUUAUUUUUGUUUUUGUCUUUUUUCUGCUAUUAUAUAUUGUAAGAUUAAUUUUCCAAUCAAAUUGUCUUUUGCUCAACAAGAUAAAAACUUCAUUGGUUUUCAUAAGAAUUUUCAAUAAAUGAAUUUUAAUUAUGAAAAAGAUAAAUGAAUUUUAUAUUAUCUUAACUUACUAGCUGUAAACUGGAUAAAUUACAAAAUGGUGGGAUGGUAUGAAAUUAGUGAAACAAAUGUUAGAGCCUAAGCAAAUUAACGUUUCAUUAAGGUGCAAUUCGUUUCGCAGAAAAUGACUUUUUAAGAAAAUAUUUUCUCGGAAGUCAUUUUUCAAGCAAAUAAUAAUAUUUUCUCCAGCCCGUUGGGAGAGAUACAACAAGAAAUCCAUUUGUGUCUUGAUGAUUUGUGUUUAAAGCGCCAAAUGGUCCAAAUUUAUCUCACGGACAAUAGAGAACUUGAUGUAGCCUGUUCUUGUGAGAAGCUAAAGAUCACAUGUUCUAAGAAAGACUGUGAUGGUUCCUGGAAAAAAUCUUUUAGGAAAAAGAAGUACUUUAAGAAGCUCUAGAUAAAGAAAUCUAGACAUGGAUCUAAGCAUUUCCGGAAAAGAAGAAGGAGUUUAGAAAGCCAUUGAGAGUUUCAUACAAAACACUCACUCUUCAAGGGACUCUGCCCAACACAUUACAUCCAAUGGUUUUCUAAACUCCUUCUUCUUCUCCGGCCUGGUAGGAUCCUCUGAGAAAUGCAGCUCGGAUAAUUAUAAACGUUACCAUCCUGACAUCUCUGAGUGUCUCUAAGCUCUGAACUAAAGGUCAGAGUGGUUUCUUGCUAAAAGGCUGUGCCUGAAGGGCUUGAACGGGAGAGGUUCGCCUACAAUGGGAAGGCAUACCUGUAGGAAACUGAUUAUGUCUUACCUAGUUCUAAGCUUCGGUCUAUUCAUGGUAUCAGAGCCUGGUUUCGUUUGUAAUAAGAUUCGUUCCAUGCGCUUAGUAGGUGCCAAUGCUGAGAAGAUCUCUUUACAUCAUGACUAACCCAGAUAUACUAGAAGCAUAUGUUUCUCUCGCGUCAUCUUUAUCUUCCUCAACACCUUCAGAUUUUCGCGUUUCUAGUGCUUCUAAGAUAAACUAUCUUUAUGAAGUCUCUCUUAGCGAUGAAACCAAGGUCUCUAAAACUCAACUUCCUCUUAUUAACUCUUACUUCGCUUUUGCUAAACCCACCUCAUCAUUUUCUCCUAUUUGCUCCAUUCGACAACUCAUCCGCCAAACUCCAAAGGAAGUGAAGGAAUAUGUCCAGUCCUUUAAGUUUGAUCAACAUCCCAUUCCUGCCACUGAAAAUGAGUAUUUUAUUACUCUUCAAAUCCCUCCAGAGUUUCCCAAGCAAUGGACUCAACAUGGAUAUUCUCAUGUCCAUUAUGGAGCUGUUCAUCUUACUCUUACUUUCCAUGGCCGCAAGGGUUUGCUAGUCGAAGUAAGAAUAACGUUAUUGGAUACUCAGUUCCUAGAAUACCAGCAUGAUUGCAUUAGUAUUGUUCAAGCCACUUUAAUUGCUAGAACAAUCUUUGUAACCUUAUAUCCAAACUUCAAUAUCGCUCUUUCAGACCCCCAAUUACUUUCUUUUCUAAAAGUCCAGGUUCAACUCACUGGAGCUCCUCAAACUGCUGACUCUAUUGCAGCAACACUGCAUUACCAGAUGGUUUAUUGAGUACAGAACCAUGCUCUUGACUUGAAUUUCCACAAUGGAAAUGAAGAUGCUUUAUUCAUUUCCAUGCAGAAUGAUCAAGCAUCCUGCAUUCAUGUUCCUCGACAGAUCCCAAAGGAAAAGUUGGCCAAGCUUCUUCCAGAAACAUGGAUCACCAACUAUGAAAAACUACAUUAGAAUAACAAGCCCUUCCAGUCUUUGGACUCUGAAUUCGGAGAAAGAAGAAAUGCCGAUAUUUACGUAAAAUGAAAGAUCGCUUAGGCCACAAAAAAUCAAAUCGAUGCUUCAUCUGCAACUAGAAAGAACAUUUUGCCAAAACUUGUCCCUAGGCUAGAAAAUGUCAGAAUCAUCCGAUAUAUCAUAUAAAGAUUAAAACUGGUAUUUCUCUUGAAAAUGAUGAUAUCAAAUAUCUAUUCUCUGCGGAAGAAAAACCAUAUGAACAAACUUUUGGUGUCAUCCAUUGUUAUCAAAUUCCUCGUGAAACCGAUUCAAAUUCAGACUCCGAAGACCUUUUUUACAUAUCCCUCACUUCUUCAGAAUAAAGCACUGAUAUAUUUUCAAGCUAAACCCAUUGUCUACAUUUCCUUGUGAAAAUCUUUACUUCAAAGUUUGCUAAACCCAUCAUUAUUAUUGCUCUCAUAGACACUGGUGCAAGUUCUUCAAUUUUCGAUACUAAAGUUCUUCAUGAAGAAUAUUGGACUUCGUGUGUUCGAUAUUUCAAUUUUGCUUCAGGAGAUACUUUUUCUACGAAUGUAAGUACCACCCCAAUAACUAUCCAAUUUUUUCCCUAGUGUUCCAUAACCACAAAAAUCUUCAGAUCCAAUCUCCCCAUCAAAGAUUUAAUUAUUGGUUGGGACAUCAUGACUCAUAUUUCUUAGCUUCGUAUCAUUCUUGGAAAAUGUCUUAAGUAUAAGGACCAAUUCUCUGAAUUCGUCCAUAUUAAAAGACUUUUUUCCAUCCAAAUGAAUCUAUUAGAUCCGAUUAUGCAGACUGUUAGAAUCCUGUUUAGAAUCCCAUUCUGAGUUCGCUCAAAAGUGUUCUCAUCAUUUAUGGAAAAAUCCGAAACUCUUUAUUCACCUUCCUUUUAAAAAGAAUGAAGACAUCAAUCCAACCAAGGUGAGUCAUAUGGGAAUAAAGCCAGAGCACUUGGUCUCUACUUAGAAGGAAUGCUCAGAAUUGCUGCAACAAGGUCUUAUUAAAAUUUCAAAUUCUCAAUGGACUUGUAAAAUCUUUUAUGUCAACAAACGUGCCGAGAAAAAUAGAGAAAAGAUGCGACUGGUAAUAAACUAUCAGCUUCUUAACCUCUUCCUUCAAGAUGACAAGUUCCCUCUACCAUCUAGAAAUUCUCUUUUUACCGAAUUAACUAAAGCCCACAUCCACUCCAAAUUCGAUCUCAAAGAUGGAUUUUGGCAAUUGGGCAUCCAUCCUGAAGAUAGGCCCAAGACAAGGUUCUAUAUUUCAAACCGGCAUUUCCAAUGGAAAGUUAUUCCUUUUGGCCUAAAGGUAGCACCAUCUCUAUUCCAGAAUGCCAUGUAUCGAAUUUUCCAACCAAUCCUGUCAAGUGUAGCAGUAUAUAUCGAUGAUAUCCUGCUCUACAGUCCUAACGAGGAAUCACACUGCCAACUUCUUGAGCAGUUCGCAGAAAUUGUGAAAAAACAUGGGAUCAUGCUUUUUCAAAGGAAGAUGAAUAUCGCCCAAACGGAAAUUAAAUUUCUUGGUAUGCACCUUAACAAAGGUACGUACUAUCCAGGGCCGCAUAUUGCUCAAGAACUGUUAAAGUAACCUAAGGAGAAUUUCAUGACAAAGCAAGUUAAGAAAUUUCUUGGGAUAAUUAAUUAUCUCAGAGACUUUAUUCCAAACAUUGCAAAACUGCUGAUUCCAUCACAAUCAAUGUCGAAGAAAAAUCUCCCACCUUGAGGAAAAUCUCAGACUAAAGUAGUUGCUGAACUUAAGGAUAUUAUGCAGACUCUUCCUCCAUUACAAAUCUCAUCAAUAGGAAAGAGAAUUCUCUAGACUGACGCUAGUGAUGAAUACUGGGCAGCCAUUCUGUUUGAAGAAAUUGAUGGUAAGAGACAGUUGUGUGCCUAUAAGAGUGGAAAGUUUUCCCAAGCUGAAAUGUAUUAGCAUUCCACUUUUAAAGAAAUCUUAGCGUUGAAAAAUGGAAUAAAAAAGUUCGAAUUCCAUCUCAUCGGCCAUCACUUCUUGGUAGAAUUAGAUAUAACAUCUUUUCCUGAGAUGACCAAAUUUAAACAGAAGCUGAUUCCAUAUUCUCAAUUACUUCGAUAUGUUGAAUGGUUUUCAUAAUACUCUUUUGAAACCAAACACAUUGCCGGAAAGAAGAAUGUGCUUGCCGACUUUUUGUCAAGGCCAAAGGCACAAACCGAAAUCAACAUGUAUAUCAUAAGGUAUGCUUUCCAUAUUUUUUACCACAAUGAAAAGUAUAAGAUUGAAAGAAUACAAGAUUGACCAAACUGGCAAUACCCUUAGGCUACGUUUGGUUAUCCGGAUUUCUAAUCGGGAUAAGAUUGGAUAAGAUAGGAUAUGAAAUCUUGAGAUUUUUUUAUAUCAUGUCUAUUGUUUGGUGAAUCGUAGUAUUAAAGUCGGAUAUGUUCACAUCAUAUCUUGUACAUUUUUUUUUUUAAAUAAACGGCAUAUCAUUGUAAAUGAACCUAAAUGUUCAUAAACGGAGAUGGUGAAAAUCUCUUGUAACACUAUUCCUUAAUUUAUUUUUAUUUUAUUUUUCCUCUUUGUUAUAUUAUUUUCUUUAUUAUUUCUUUUUUGCCCUUUCACCAUUCUUUUAUAAAAUUUUAUCAAAUAGUAAACUGUACUAACAUAUCUAAAAUACAAAAAUAGCUAAAAUAUAUAAUAAAUAUAAAUAUUUAAUUUAUAGAUUGAAUGUUUAUUAUAAGAUAGAAUUAAAGUUGAAUAUAUAAAUUAAAUAAGAUUAAUUAAAAAUAAUUUUUUAUUUUUUAUUUUUUAUUUUUAAUUUCUUAAAUUAGAAUUCAAAUAUUAUUUAUAUUAAAAUAUAAUUUCAAUUUUGUUAAUUUAAUAAGUUUGUUAUUCAAGAAAAAUAACUUUCUUAUUAUGAACAUUAGAAAUCCUAUCCAUUUUUAUCACACCUCCCCCAUGAGAUAAUUUUAUCUUGUCUAUAUCCCUCUUAUAUCCGACCUUAUCAUGUCUUGAGUGAGUACCAAACGUAGAAUAAGAUAAAUCAUAUGCUAUCCCGAAUUUUAUCCCAACUGUCAAACGCAAUGUUAGGAGAUUGUCGAACAAAUCCAAAUUGACAAGCUCAUUGAAAAUCUGGAAAACCUCAUGUGGCAAUGCCACACGAAUCUAUUCAGACUCCAUGGAGGCUCAAUUCUUUAUCGUUUUUGUGACAUCCUGCUUUUCCAAUUCUAUUUUCAAUAAAUUGAGACGGGCAUUUCGUCGGCAUGCAUAUAGUUCUUUUCCUUGAGUUAGCCACUCAUGUGAAAACUAGUCUAUCAGGUGAAGCCAUUAAAAUAUUCUAAUGCAUCAGACUCGAGAAUUUGACCAGGAAGCGACCUUUCGAUCGAGCUAAUCUGCAAGGGUCAUUACGACACAAUUAAAAAUCGAUUAGAAACCGGAGAUAGGUCGACUCGACAAAGACAUGUGAUCAAGGGUGAGUGAUUCCACUAGGUCGCACAAUCCUUGUCGAUCGGCACUAAACCGAUUUUUCCGUCAAUUGGGUACCCUGUGUCCAUAUUUGAAACAUUGAGAUUACCUCAACAACCGAGAGUCGCUAAUGUGUCAAAGAUGUACAUUGUGGCUUGAUCAACCACUGGUCGAAUGCAUGAAAAUUUCUAAAAGCUACUCGGUAGAUCAGGACGCGCUAAUAUCGUGCCAGAGUAAAAUUAACUGUGAAUUGAGAUCGAAUUCAGAAAUUGGAAGUCAUGUUGUGUCACAAAUCAUUUUAGGAACAUUGGCUUAUCUUCAAAAGAUUUUUCAUGUAAUCAGAGUUUUUCAGCAAGUUAAUCAUGAUAUGGCUAAUUUGGCUCGAGAAAUUAGUAGGCUCGCCCUUGGUCAUGUUUUUGGGACUUAAGUUGGUUCUAUGGACAAGCGAAGAUGUGAAUUGAAGUGUGGUGACGUUGGAUUAAUUUUAUGGACUUCAAUUUGGUUCAAUUGGAAGAGAAUCGAAUGGAAUUAAAGAAUUUAAUGUACAAGAUUUCAUGCCACGGCGGAAAAGGAAAUUGCAACCAUUGGAAGAUGUUGUGGAGGGUUGAGUUAGUGGAAGAUGACAUCAGGUGAUGUCAUGGUGGUUGGGCCAUAUUGAAGGAGAUCUUGACAAGUGGAUGGUGGGGAUUGGCUCUUAGAAAGGUGGGCUAUCAACAUCAUCUUCAAGCUUGGGAAGAGAGAGAAAGAGGAGAGGGAAAGCUCCGAACGGAACUAGCAGCCCGCAUGCCCCUUCGCCGCUCGCUCGGUCGCUCGACACCACCACCCGUUGUCGUCACCGGCGCCACCCGUCUACACCUGCUCGCCCGCGCAACCGGCCAGCUCCGCUCCCCCUUCGCCUGCAUGCACACGCGCUAGCCAGAGCCCUCGUCAUUCGUUCAUCGCUGCCCUUGGCCGAGCUGCAGCCGUGAGCCACCGUCCAGCUCGCCGGGAGCUCGUGCAAGCCGUUGCUACCGCUCGCCGAUCCUCCUUCGCCGUUCCUCUGCCCGAACUAGCACCGGAGCAGCCCUCCGUUGGCCUCAACUAGCAGCCAAGAAAAAUGCGUAUGGCAGCUCGGUUUUGGCCUGUUUUGGCUGUCUUCCCGACCCCGGAUACUUGGCCCGCUUUGAGAAAAGUUGUUCCCCUUGGCGUCUCCGUCGUUUUGGUCCGCUCGGUUCGUUAAUCGGGUGAGUUUAACUCACUAAAUCUUGAUUAUAAGGUUAAUGAUGCCCUAAGUGUGCUUAGUCUAAGUUAAGUAAACUUAGGUGGUUAGUUUAGUUUAUUUAAUUGUGAAUUAAAUUAAGAGGUUGGUUUAAUUUAAAAUAUGUUUAAUUAAGGUUAAGUUGAUGUUUAUAUUAGUAUAAUGGUGAUUUGAUAUAAAUGAAUUACUUUCGGAUUAAAUAAAUAUUUCGAAAUUGUUUAAUAAUUUAAUAAUAUUUUAUUAUUCGAAAUUAUUAAAUAUUAUUAUUUAAUUAAAUUUCGGAAUAAAUUUAAUUAUUUAUUAAAUUCUGAAAAUUAUUUCGGGACCUUAUUUUCCAAGAAUUUCGUGCUAAUCGUUGCUGUGCAUUUAGAAUUUGAAUUUGAUGAAUGGAUGUGGCAAAUUGAGUGUUGAUUGUGAUAAAUAUGGAUUUUAUUCAUAAAAACCCAAGUGUCGAGUUUUGAUGCAAAAAUUGGAUUCUCGGUAUUAUAUUAAAUAGUGGGGUUUGAAAAAGUGAGAUAUUGGUUUUCGGGAUCGAAAUUAACGUGUCCCCACACAUGUGAUUAAUUUCUAGACUAUUUUUAAUAUGAAGAAAAAUGGCCGGGAUCACUAUUUUAAGUGGAAGCAUUGAGUGAAAUACAAAGUGUCUCGGGCCGAAUAUGAAUUGUUGUGUGAUAAUUAAGAGGAGAUCGUCCUGGGCUGUUGAGCCGGACUUACCCCUAUAUGGGAGCCCACAUAGUGGUUGCAGGUCGUAGUUGAUUCUGGGCCCAUGUUCCUUCGGGAAUGUCGUCGACAUACUGACGAAGCUGCGCUCCAUGGGGGGAGGUGAUGCCUGGCAUUAAAGUCAAUAGAUAGCCGAAUUGCGAGUAGGUUAUGCCCUUGUGUGGCAGUGAAUAAUAAUUGGAAUGUGUGCUAAGUGCGAUUGUGAUUUAUAUAAAAGUGAUGGCAUUCCAAUUAUUUGAAUUAUUAUUACUACCUGAGAUUGUGUGAUACAAAUUGUGUUAAUCUGUAGGAAGGAAUUAAGAUGAGGUAAGUCUUCCGUGUGAUGUGGCUGGGCCACCCGGGAUGUAUUUUCUUUCUAAUAGGGGUUUAGGGGGUUGAACUUGCUGAGACAAUGUCUCACCCCGUUGUGGGCCAAAAUUUCAGGUCCCUAGAUGGCGGUUGUGGAGGACCCGAAGCCCUAAGUUUGGAAAUGUGGAAACUGAAGGAUCGGUGAACGUGUCCUGCUAGUUGGAUUAGGAUAGUUCCCCUUUCGUCGAACUAGUCUAUUUUGUAAACAGUCCAAUAUUGUAUUUAAACCUAUGUGUUUAUAAAUGAGUGUUUGGUAUUGUGAUUGAUUGCCUACUUUUCUAUCCCAAGUUAAAUGUUAUUAGGGGAUUUGUUUCGCUUUCACAUGCGUAAUAAAAUGAAUGGGUCGGCGACGUAUCUUGGGAUAUCGCAUAUUUGAUCGACUGCAGUGGGAUGUGCGCACGCUCGGGGUUCAGGGCGUGACAGUUUUGGCUUAAAUAUGGACUACCCAUUCAUACAUCCUCUAAUUUGGAAGGAAUAUAACUUAUCUGAUCAACUCCAAUGAUUAUUAUGGUACUUAACCAAUAAGUACUUAAUAGCUGUUGAAAUUCUGACAAGAAGAUUCAUUGUCAACCUCACAAGGAUAUUCGGACUUGGUUGAAACAUCGAAAAUGAGAGUGACAGAAAUCUUUUAGCCUUUCUCAACUGGUUUUACCCUUCUAUUCACUAGAGGCGGCUUUUGCAGCAAGAAUUGAGAACUAUCCAACCAAACCCUAAAGUCCACACUAUUCCAUUUUUUAGACGACCAUGGGCUUUUGUGAAAAAUAAUGGUAGCAUCAUCAAUGCUCCACAUAUUAUAGAAACCACAUCCUAUAAACCUCAACUGUACCUUAAGGAAGCUCGGAUUUACAAAUCUUUUCCAUGACCUAUUGGUUGCUAUGAACACCAGUACCAAGAACUCCAGAGAAUUUUGUGCCAAGAAAAUAAAACUAUUCCUAAAGAUGUAUGGAACUAUAAUGUACCCACUGCAUGGAAUCAUUAUAGCUUUACACCAAAAGCCAAUGAAGCACUUGAGGAAUUUAGAUAAGCUGUAUCAUCACAGGAGCAAGAAAUGACAGAUACAGAUGACCUUGCACAAUCUUCUCAAGACCCCUAUGCACAAUAGGGAGGACUUCUUUCUCAAGACCCCUAUAAUCAAAGACAUUUGUCCUUAUCUCUAGGCAUAGACAUAUCCUACUAUGCUCAACUAUCCAAUUGGCAUCAGCCAAACAUUCCUACUGACACUACAAGUACUUUCAAAAAUCAUGAGGAAGCAUCCUCGUCAAACACCCGAAUUCUCUCACCAGAUUCACUUGUAGGAUUUGAGCAAAAAUAAGAAGAACACCUUCUGGCUGAGAUGCAUAGUUUUGAUGACUCAAACUAUGAUUACAAUGUUCGCAAUAGACAAGACUACUGAUCGUAGUAGAUCACUGUAGCAAGUUAUUGUAGCAUUACUGUAGCAGUAGACUAGGGAAAUCACCGUUUACUGUCGCUGUUCAUAGCACCGAAAAUAACUCCCUGCCGGAUUUUCCGGAGCCUCUAUUUGCUUCUAGACCCGUGAGCAUGGUCCUUGUUUGUGUGUGACCUUCUAAUGUCUAUAAAAGGCAAGGAUGAUGUAAUAUGUUUGACAGAGUCUCUUGAAGUAAAGUGAGUGUUUUGUGUGAAACUCUCAAUGGCUUUCUAAACUCCUUCUUCUUCUCCAGCUUGAUAGGAUCCUUUGAGAAAUGUAGUUUGGACAGUUAUAAACGUUACCAUCCUAACACCUCUGAGUGUCUCUAGGCUCUGAACUAAAGGUCAAAGUGGUUUACUGCUAAAAGGCUGUCUCUGAAGGGCUUGAAUGGGAGAGGUUCGCCUAUAGUAGGAAGGCAUACCUGCGGGAAACUGACUUCGUCUUCCCUAGUUCUAAGCCUAGGUCUAUUCAUGACUGGUCAUGCGGUCUUUGGUUUCAUCAUCAUUGGUUGACUGACAAUUAAAAAGGAAUCCAUCCUUUCAUGUGAUCUGUUGUAAUUAUCAUCUAAUAAAUAUCGACACUAAUUGGACCCUAGCCAAGUCAAUACAUAAUAAGGGAGGAGGGCGGCUCUUCUGUUCAGAAGACUUCUAGAAAUAGUUUAGUUCUAAGAUCGGGUUCCUAUGUUUUAGGGUAAUAUCUUAAACAACUUUUUGAAAACACAAGAUCUAAUUAUUGGUUGUCUUAUGUGCACCCAUGAUGCAUGAGCUCAUCAACAAGCGAGCUCUCAUAGCCAUACUUUUGUAACCUCUAUUUGUUAAUCACAAUCAUUUCCAACAUGCUAUUAAAAAAUUUCCUUUAAAGGACUCAUAUUAGAUUAGACAAAUUAGUGAAAAUGUUCAGUUGUUUUGCUAAGAAUGAACAAUUUGCAAAAUUAAGAAAAUGAUUACUCGUGCGUAUUGCUUAGAAAGAUAAAUUGACAAAAAAUAUUAUUAUUAUUAAUAAUAAUUUAUACCUAAAUAAUUGUGUUCAAUGAACUAAUCAUUAUGGUGCAUUCCUAUAAGAAAAAAAGAUGAUCGUGCCGUGCAUAGGACUACCGCGUCGUUCUGAUGCAUACGUCCAUAGGCUCGGAUGACGUAAUCUGUUCCAAGUAGAAUAAUAGAGUAUUUUUAAAAAACCUGUUAAUAUUUUAAAGGUAGGCCAUUAAUGAAACCGGACGCCAAUAGUAGAGCACAAACCGCACUUUUUGAUAUCUUCGGAAGGUUUCAUUUUCCUCCAUUUUCGUCUGAAAGCUUGGACGUCGACAUCCGAGUAAUUUCCUAGCAUUGAUCCAUUGCGCAUAUUAGUUCAGCAGAAAGAAAGAAAAAAAAAACCUAUUGCUUUUGUAUUUCAUUUUAGGCCAAUUAAAAUUUAGAUGACACUUAUUUCCAAGUGUCUCACAAUGCUUGUAAUUAUACGUAGUGUUUACUAUCAUAAACUAAUUGGAUCUUUAUCAUAAACUGAAAUCUUUGAGAAAUUUUCGUAUUAGCCACUUAUAAAUCUGAUAGUUAUGCGCUAUUUAGACUUAUUGAUCUUCAGAUGAUUAGCACAUCGACAGUUGGAGCAGACUUUUGGAUGUAACUUCCCUUUUCAUAAUUCAUACAAGAAGUCCACCUACUUUUUUUGACCAGUGAAAAAGAAAAGGAUCCAAAGAGAAUCUCUCUCUCUCUCUCUCUCUCUCUCUCUCUCUCUCUCUCUACUGUGGAGUUGUGCGGCGUGAUUUCUUGGAAGAGCCUCGCCGCUUUUCUGCAAUUUAUAAUGUAGUUAGCUUCCUUGGCGGGGGUUGUUCUGAUCUCUCUCUUUCACAGUUGGAUGGAGCUUUCUUGGGAUUCUGGUCGUCUUCAACAGGCGAUUCACCGACAUAGUUCCAAACUCACUGUCCUAGACAUAGACUGAAUGCACCUAAUUUCCAAUUUCCCUUGGUGCUUGCGAGCCCCGCGCGAUUCCUCCCGUAUUUACAAUUUCUUUUCGUGCUUGCGGCCCCCGCGCGAUUCCACCUAAUUUCCAAUUUCUUUUGACGUUUGCAGGCCUCCCUUCAAAUUCCGAUCAAUAGACGUCGCAGACAAACUCCAUUUAGCUUUAGGUGGAGGAUGAACUUUGAAUUAGUCUUUGGUGAGGGCCAGUGACAAGGCGUUCGCUUUGUCCUCCGUGGGGCAAAAUUAAUACCGUGUUAAGAUACCCAGUGGCAAAAGAAGCACGAAAUUGAAAACGAAUAUGGGGAGAAAUUACUAGGAAGGAGUUAAAAAUUGAUUAGAAAGUUGACUGGUCCUGAUAAUCCAUGUGGCCAACAAUCCUUGACGAUAUUCUCUGCAGGGAGUAACCUCACGAUUUUUUCACGGAUCAAAGACGUGCAUCGACGUUUGCUUGACCUUUUCUUCGCUUCAGUAACCGAAAGAGGUUAUAAUCUCCAUUACGGCGUCGAAAAUAAGGAUGCAUUUUUUUCUUUUAUCUCAAUUAGAAGUCGAGGCUUUUCCGAGAAGAUCUAGUGGAACUCAUUAGGGAAAAGCCACAACCUUUAUCACGAAUCAAGAUGCCGCGUACAUUUUUCUAGCGCCUCCUUUUCUUCUUUUAGGCUUCGUUCGUUUGCGGAAAGUACCCCUUCUCCUUUUGGUAUGAAUGAAAUUUUAUCGAUGAGAAGAGGGGAUUUGGAAUGACACCCAUAUUUUUUUAUUUUUAUUUUUGUCAGAAAUAGAUAGGUUUCAUUACUAAACCACCGUCAAAACACCACAAAGUUUCAAUAUCCAAGCAUAAAAUUAUCGAAUGACACCCAUAUUCAAACAAACAUAUUGGUCAUGAGACCAGGAAAAAGACUUGUCAUAUGGCGUCCGGUUUCAUUAAUGGCCUACCUUUAAAAUAUUAACAGGUUUUUAAUGGCCUCUCUUUUAUUCUGUGCGUAUGUUUCAUGAAUAAUCAAUGACUCUGAAUUCAUAAAAUGAUCUUUCGUAUCUUUUAACAAAAAUAAAUAAUUAAAAAUAUUUUCAUUAAUGAUGAAAAUAUUUAGGUAUAAAUUGUUAUUAAUAAUAAAAAUAUUUUUUUGUCAAUUUAUCUUUCUAAGCGACACGCACGAGUAAUCAUUUUCAUAAUUUUGCAAAUUGCUCAUUCUUAGCAAAGCAACUGAACGUUAUCGCUAAUUUGUCUAAUCUAAUAUGAGUCCUUCAAAGGAAAUUUUUUAAUAACAUGCUGGAAAUGAUUGUGAUUAACAAAUAGAGGUUACAAAAGUAUGGCUAUGAGAGCUCGCUUGUUGAUGAGCUCGUGCAUCAUGGGUGUACACAAGACUAAGUUGUUAUAGAGAAUAUCUUAACAGACAUUUUUCACGACGAAGACUAGUCCAAAACAAUUUGUAUAUAGAGCAACUAGUCCUCAAAUUAUACUUAUCUUAUAGCCCUAACUAAACAUGUCAAAACAUCUUGAAUUUUGGAUAUGUUAUAAAUCAGAAUGUUCUAUACAAUUUUUAUGAAGGAAUUUUAUAAAAAUUCAGGACAACAAUCGGAUCACUGUUCCGACUACACUAGACAGGUCAAACACGGUAAAGGAGAAGUCCAUCUUACCAUCCAUAUCAUCUCAAACCUCUAGCCAAGAGUUCUCUUAUUGCCUUCCAAGUAAGCGAUCCGUUAACCUGCACAAGCAAAAGUUUAUAAAUAACAAGGAGAUGACUAAUUAGUAGAAAGAGGAGCUCAGCCUGCAAGAUCCUCUCAUUGAUGAGAACACGAAUACGUUAGGUAUAGCACGUUGAAGUAUCUAAUUGUUCUACGCAAACACUAGACAUGAAAGACCGAAUGCGAUAAAACCACCAGACCACAUUAUGGAGUCCCCUCGGUUUCAUACGCCCAUAAUUGAAGGCGUUUGGGAAAUUUUUUUGACAGGAGAGAAUCUUGCGACCGCCGGAUAUUCUGCCGGGAAUUUCAGACCAAACAUGCAGGCGCUCUCUCCAUUGACUAUAAUGGUCGCACCCAGCCGAAAUCUAGAAUAAACAAAUAUCUUCAUAACAAAUUGUGUCGCCAGAUGCGCUGUUUAAUAAAUCCUCGUCUUCCCUCCCCUCCCUCCUCGUCCUCCUCGUCAUCAUCAACGAGUGUUCCUCUCUCUCUCUCCACCUUCUUGUCCCGCUCUCUCCCACAUUCCAAAAAUGUCUUAUAUCGGGCGGAAUCAGUGGAACAGUAUUGAGGACCUCGUCCCUUUUCUCGUUCCGAUUCUGGUGAAUUUCGUUGCCAUGAAAUAUCAAGGCAUGCAGCGUUCUCCAUUCGAUUCGCAUCCCAUCAGUGUCUUCCUCACCGUCUUCACGCUCCUCCUUUUUUGCAUCUUGUCCUUUCCACAUGUUGCUGAUCAGUUGAUAUUUCGGACACCUCGUGGUGCCCGCAUCUUUCUCUGGCUUAGGGCCUUUUCCUGUCUCUCCGUAGCUUUACUCUCGUUCAUCUUGUUCGGAGGACUCUUCUUCUUUCUCCUCUGUUUCCCGAGGAUUGGAGCCUGGCAAGUGCUUGCGCAUGGUGAGCGACGAUGGAAGAGAAAGCCAUCGAUGAUUCGCAGAUAAAAACAAAACCAGAAAAGAGAAGAGAUUCAACGAAACCGCGCGUCAACGCGGAAUCCGCUGAGGAAUGCGCAAUGGGCGAUGUGCAAUGAUAUAACCAGUUCUCGACGCGCGGUUUUUCGUUCUCGACGCUUUCAUCGCUCAGCUUAUGGGGGGACUGGGCGAGAUUUGCUGGCUGAACAGGAAAUUUCCAAUGACUAUGGCUGCAGUACUAGUACCUGCUUGCCCCCUUGAUUAAUCAAUUGGAAGCGUUGUCUAGGCUGACCAUUAAAGCAAUCCAAUUCUACACUUAUUUCGCUUAUUCAUGUGUUUUGCUUGAUAUCCUACUUGUUUUUAAGCUCUAGCAAAGCGUUCCUAAUUUGCUGGGAAAAUUUCAAAACAUUUCAAUAUUAUGAGUUUUUACAACGUUUUACUGUUGAGUAAGUUUCCACCUCAUUCUGUAGAACUGUCUGGCUUAGUUUUGGUGUGAAGUGAUUACCAAUAAAACCGUUAAAUAAGACCCCCUAUAUUUAAGCUUCCACCGCAUUUUUUGUUCAAACGCAGUUAAUGUAUUUUGCCAUGAAUUUUGCAGAAAGAUAUCUAUCAGAAACCAUAUUUAUCAAGUGCACAUCAUGCUCUUAGUUUAGAUUUGAAGCAAGCAUGUCUCCUCCCAAAAUUAGAUCAUGAAGACAACCUGUGGAAAUCUUAACCUAGCUGACUACAAAAACCGAUUGACAUAUUUGCCAGGACAUACAUAGAAUUUAUGUUCUGUCCGAUAGUGACAAGUAAGAAUCAUUGGUUGAGGAACGUUAAAUGUAUCGUUUGGACCUGCGAGAUGGAACUGCACUCAUGUUUAUAAUUCGCUAAAAAGUAUCACCUAAGAAGGAAGUUUAACUUGAAAAUAUGAAAUAUCUAUUUUGAGAGGCAAUGAUGGUUCAACCAAGCAUUGGAUGUAUGUUUUAAAGGAGUGAUGACUCCAUGAAGUUGAGUUUGGGAAAUUGUAAUACUUGAAGCGAAUACAAACUGUUGCUGAAGUUGCAAUUCAGGGAUCUAAAGGGACACUUAUAUGAAAAGUGGACUGAUGUGAUAACUCCCAUAUGGGCUCAAUUGCCUUUGCUCUUAAUUGGGACGUGUAAUUGGUUUUUUGCACAUGUAUCCCUUGGAAGGUGUCCUGGUUAUAUCCUUUUGCCUUUAAGAAACUCUCUUUUGACUGUCUAAUGUUGGUAUGAGACUAGUUUGAGAAUGCCCAUUUUCCAACAGAUUCUUCAGGGAAAAGGCAUUCAUAUACGGGAUAUCAAUGCAUCUGGGGACUACCUUGACCAUUUCGCAUCCAAUUCAUGAGGACCAAAUAUGUAUUGGUAACGGUUAUUUUUUUCUUUACCUUGAUGACAUUUGUCCUGUCUAUUUUAGACUUGGUCUGAAAGAUCAAGAAGAAGGUGACUUAGGACCAGCUUAUGGCUUUCAGUGGCGGCAUUUGGUGCUAGGUUGGUUUGCCUUAAUUUAGUUGAUCAGUUUUUAUUUGUUGCAGCAAUGUAUGUUUAAUGAUAUUAUAUAUGUCGUAUGUCACAGGAACAGUAACAUGCACAUUGACCUACCGGCCAAGGAUUUGAUCAGUUGUUGGAUGUUAUUUACAAGAUCAAGAAUAAUCCAGACGAUUGUUUAAUUAUGCUCACUGCUUGGAAUCCUUCUGAUUCUGGCACUUCCACCUUGGCACAUGUUUGCACAGUGUAGAUAUGUUUUGCUUCAUUUUCCCAAAAUUCUCUCUGUUUUCUUUCCUUUCUUUCUUUGGUUAACCUAAUUUUACCUUUGCCCUUUUUUGUUGCAAAUGGGAAGUUGUCGUCUCAAAUGUAUCGGUGUUCUGCUGACAUGGGAUUGGUGGUGCCAUUCAGCAU
RNAcentral lists this long non-coding RNA (24870 nucleotides) under Eucalyptus grandis. RNAcentral's name for it is "long non-coding RNA (EGRA_LNC004276)". Lineage: Eukaryota; Viridiplantae; Streptophyta; Magnoliopsida; Myrtales; Myrtaceae. The record is from RNAcentral.